This is a long non-coding RNA of Carya illinoinensis, 691 nucleotides long. RefSeq lists it as uncharacterized. NCBI's taxonomy places the organism in Eukaryota, Viridiplantae, Streptophyta, Magnoliopsida, Fagales, Juglandaceae. The record is from RefSeq and is a predicted model, not a curated record. The transcript is spliced from 2 exons.
UUUUGGGCGUGGCAAGGUCCUCACACGCCACUUGCAUUCAUGCAUGAGCCCCUAGGGAUUCUAGAAGGAUCUAAUCUUGAUGAGGAACAUCUAGGGUUUCAACUAUCAAGGUAAGAAGCAAGACGCCACAUGGCACUCAUGCACAAAGGGAACCUUUAGUUUCCAUAUCAAAAUUGAAGACGAGGGAGAGAGAGUGGGAAUUGAGUAAGGUAUGUAAGGAGGACAUUAAUGGAAUUGGCACCCUACCCUCACUAAAGGCACACCAAAGGUCAUUUUGUCCCAUUUUCAAAUUUUCUUCUCCUCUCGUCGCUCUAUCUCGCCUACCUUAGGGAAAGAUAGCCCAUCAUUAUUUUCCUUCCAACCAAACACCCUCUAUGCACAAGCAUAGGAAGGAAGAUUCAGACAUCACAUUGGAAAGGUUAUAAUGGCCUUGAUGCAGACGUAGCCCGAGAGGAGUUUCUCGAGGAAGAAGGAUCAACCCCCCUCGAGUGAUAGAAACGUAGGCUUGUCUUUGCUAUUACUAUUUGCAUCGAUGGAAAUGUAUUAUUUAGUUAAGUGGAAAACCGUGUUCGAUUUGUCAUACCUAGAUGAGAGAGGAAUAAUUGGCAUUAUGUAAUAUUAUUUGAGAAAUAACAAUGAUAUAUGGAUAUUAUUAUUCUUAAUAAAUGAAUCUUUAAUGGGUUUAGACCUU